RNAcentral lists this ribosomal RNA (201 nucleotides) under uncultured bacterium. RNAcentral describes it as "partial 16S ribosomal RNA". It matches the Rfam family "Bacterial small subunit ribosomal RNA", at positions 524 to 718 of the family's 1533-position model. The record is from RNAcentral.
UACGUAGGGGGGCAAGCGUUGUCCGGAAUCAUUGGGCGUAAAGAGCGUGUAGGCGGCCCCGGUAAGUCCGCUGUGAAAAGUCCAGGGCUCAACCCCUGGGAUGCCGGUGGAUACUGUCGGGGCUCGAGUCCGGAAGAGGGAGUGUGGAAUUCCUGGUGUAGCGGUGAAAUGCGCAGAUAUCAGGAGGAACACCAAUGGCGA